UAAAAUUGGGUCACUUUAGGUCUUCUAUUAAUUACUAUGGGUUAAUUUGGUCUUCCUUAAAAUUAAUGGGUCCAAUUGAGUCAAUUUUAAAAGAGGAAGUAUGUUUUAUGUUUACGGGUCAAUUGAAGUAAAAAGGAACGGGUACACGGUUUAGGAAAGCUUACUGUGUCCUAGGGUUUUUUCUUAGAGCUUGAACUUCAGUGAACAUCAUCAUCAUCAGCGAUUCAGCGAGCGACGGCAUCUUCAUCCUCUCCAGCCUCCGCCGUCUCCUCCGCCACAAACCCGCCACCGUCUCCGCGUCUCUGUCGUCUCCUCCGCCACAAACCCCCACCCUCCGCCGGCAUCUUCAUCAACGACGGGAUCUUCAUCAGCGACGGCAUCUUUUCCGGAAGUAGGAACUUGGUUUUAAAAGUGUGCUUGAGGCGCGAAGUGCGCACGUGGCAAGGCGAUCUGGAAAGCGCCUUAGGGUUUGAGCUUUGAAGCGGCGCCUCAUGUACAUCUAGGUCAAAAUUGGUGAAACUUAGGGUCUGUAAGGAGGCUGGUGUAUGUAAGGGAUAAAGAAACUUUGAUAGGUUUACUUGAUGAAAAGGAUGGUAUGUAAAAGAGAUGAAACUUCUGGUUGUACAUAGAGCAACGAGUUGUACAAAGUAGGUACAUUAUUCGAAGGUUACCAACCCGGACCCGUUUUAACCCGACAAAAUUGCCCCUUGAUGUACAAUCACUUAAAAAAAACAUUUUUUUAUCCAACCCGACCCGAAACCCGCUCUGACCCGAACCCGUUCCAACCCGAACCCGUUCCAACCCGAACCCAAUUUGACCCGAACCCGUUUUGACCCAUGACCCAACCCGACCCUACCCAACCCGUUUGCCAGGUCUAGGGCAGGGCAGUAUCUGGAUCAUGUACUCUGCCAUACACGACAUCGAUGAAGAACCAAACGUUAAAGAUGGGGAACGGAUGCUUCUGCGUUGUGUAUGUCUACCGAUGAUAAUAGGUGUUACAAGUGGAGUAGACUACUUUCAUACUUACGUUAAUACAGCGGCGACAAAGGAACCAGUAGCGGCGACAGGCCGUCGCCGGUAAAAGUGUUUCCGUAAAUAGCCUAUACAGCGCCAUUUCUUCCCUCCUCCUUCACUUUUUCCCCCAAACUCUUCAUCUUACCGCCGGAGAACCGCCUUUUUUCACCAAAUCGAAAAUUCGGAUCACCACCAUCACCUCUCCGGUCACCACCAUCACUUCUCCGGUCACCACCUCGUCUCCGCGGUCUAUAUCUACUUGAAAGCUUGAAAUUACGGGAUUAUGUUUUCGGUAUUGCUGAUAUUCGCUUAUUUGAUGGCGGAUGUGGCCCCCUGGGGACAUGGGGGUGACGGUGCCGGUGAUCCACCGCUUCCUCCUGGUGGGAUUCGUGGCACACACGAGACAGACGCAGUUCCCCAAAGAAGGUUAGGGGGAAAGCUAAAAACGAGAAACUACGACGUCUAGUAAAAGCGGGGGGGGGGGGGGGGGGGGGGGGUCUGUGUCGCUUACGUUUGAUCGACAGGUCACGUUUACCCCUGUUGGUAAAUCAAGAGACAUGUUUUCAAGGGAGGCCGGCCUGUAUAUGUGGCGACCGUCCCGUUUGAUAAAAUGGGAUGGGAUAAUGUUGAACAACAUUACAAGGAUGCCGUCAUGAACCACUUACGGGAAAAUUUCAAUCUUGAUGAAGUGGAACGUGAUUAUGAGGCGAAAAACUUGAAGGGUGGUAUGAGGACUGUGCUUAUGAAGCGGUACUCUGACCGCAACAUGAAGCUAGACAAUUAUUUGAUAGCCAGGGAGGUUACGAUGAUCUUGAGAUGGCAAGGGCAUACCAUCCCGUGGAUAUGCCCUAUGAAAACUGGUUGAGAACCAUUGAAGGUUUCCGGCAAGAAAAAUAUAUUAAAAAAAAGCAAGGCCUGUAAGCAAGUACGCGAGAAACAAUUCCCAUACCGUGGGGGGACAUCUUCGUACGGUAGCACCGCCUAGAAAAAUGUAAUGUUUUAUGUAUGUGUGCGUGUGUGUAAGCUUUUGUUUAUUUAAUGUCUAAUCUAGGUGUAAUGUUAAACAAAAUUUGGAUUGUGUACCUACGUAUGCUAAAACCCACACGGACAAUCAAGGGAAUUGGGUUGAUCCGGUUGCUGAACAAAAUUACCGGAACAUACAACAGGCCACAGAUGAAUGGAGCGGCGAUGGUCCUCCAAUUGCCCCGUAUCAAGAAGCGUUGGGAGAGCGGCGAGGAUGGUAUCGCGGGAUGGGGCCUAAACCUUCUUCCAACACGUCCUCAAACAUGUCGUCUUCGCAAGCUCGGACGCAAGAACCCUUUUCCGAGGAUUUUGUUAACAGCUUGUUCCAAACUCCGUCAUUUUUGAGCCAACUUAACAACUAUCUUGCUUCACAAGGGAAAGGAAAAGGAAAGUCAAAUGACUACGAUUCUGACGACUUAUACGAUAGAGAAUCCGAGGAAGAUUGACUUGUUUUAAUGUAUGAUUUUGAUUUAUUAAACGUUGUAGGAUUAUAAUGUACGACUAAAACGUAGUUUGCGUAUGUUUGUGUUGUUUUAAUUAUAUUACCUUUAGUAUA
This is a long non-coding RNA of Helianthus annuus (common sunflower), 2593 nucleotides long. RefSeq lists it as uncharacterized. The record is from RefSeq and is a predicted model, not a curated record. The transcript has 10 exons. NCBI's taxonomy places the organism in Eukaryota, Viridiplantae, Streptophyta, Magnoliopsida, Asterales, Asteraceae.